GACGAACGCUGGCGGCGUGCUUAACACAUGCAAGUCGAACGGAAAGGCCCUGCUUUUGUGGGGUGCUCGAGUGGCGAACGGGUGAGUAACACGUGAGUAACCUGCCCUUGACUUUGGGAUAACUUCAGGAAACUGGGGCUAAUACCGGAUAGGAGCUCCUGCUGCAUGGUGGGGGUUGGAAAGUUUCGGCGGUUGGGGAUGGACUCGCGGCUUAUCAGCUUGUUGGUGGGGUAGUGGCUUACCAAGGCUUUGACGGGUAGCCGGCCUGAGAGGGUGACCGGCCACAUUGGGACUGAGAGACGGCCCAGACUCCUACGGGAGGCAGCAGUGGGGAAUAUUGCACAAUGGGCGGAAGCCUGAUGCAGCAACGCCGCGUGCGGGAUGACGGCCUUCGGGUUGUAAACCGCUUUCGCCUGUGACGAAGCGUGAGUGACGGUAAUGGGGAAAGAAGCACCGGCGAACUACGG
This 467-nucleotide ribosomal RNA is filed under the name uncultured bacterium. Its description in RNAcentral is "partial 16S ribosomal RNA". It matches the Rfam family "Bacterial small subunit ribosomal RNA", at positions 28 to 506 of the family's 1533-position model. The record is from RNAcentral.